UCCUGGCUGGCUUAGUCAGUAGAGCAUGCGACUCUUGAUCUCAGGGUCAUGAGUUCAAGCCCCAUGUUGAGUA
Canis lupus familiaris (dog) is the source of this 73-nucleotide non-coding RNA. The record is from Rfam. Lineage: Eukaryota; Metazoa; Chordata; Mammalia; Carnivora; Canidae.